GCGCCUGUAGCUCAGUGGAUAGAGUGCCCGGCUACGAACCGGUAGGUCGUGAGUUCGAAUCUCCCCAGGCGCGCCA
RNAcentral lists this transfer RNA (76 nucleotides) under Candidatus Faeciplasma avium. RNAcentral describes it as "tRNA-Arg". It matches the Rfam family "tRNA". Rfam says of the family: Transfer RNA (tRNA) molecules are approximately 80 nucleotides in length. RNAcentral also lists the same sequence under 1 other name. The record is from RNAcentral. Lineage: Bacteria; Bacillati; Bacillota; Clostridia; Eubacteriales; Oscillospiraceae.